This 422-nucleotide ribosomal RNA is filed under the name uncultured bacterium. Its description in RNAcentral is "bacterial SSU rRNA". It matches the Rfam family "Bacterial small subunit ribosomal RNA", at positions 355 to 774 of the family's 1533-position model. The record is from RNAcentral.
UGAGGAAUAUUGGUCAAUGGGGGCAACCCUGAACCAGCCAAGUCGCGUGAAGGAUGAAGGUCUUAUGGAUUGUAAACUUCUUUUAUACAGGAAUAAAUUGGGGGACGUGUCCCCUUUUGCAUGUACUGUAUGAAUAAGGAUCGGCUAACUCCGUGCCAGCAGCCGCGGUAAUACGGAGGAUCCGAGCGUUAUCCGGAUUUAUUGGGUUUAAAGGGUGCGCAGGCGGGAUGUUAAGUCGGCGGUGAAAUUUUGCAGCUCAACUGUAAAAGUGCCUUCGAUACUGGCCUCCUUGAGUGUGGAUGAAGUAGGCGGAAUUUGUGGUGUAGCGGUGAAAUGCUUAGAUAUCACGAGGCACUCCGAUUGCGCAGGCAGCUUACUAAGCCACAACUGACGCUCAUGCACGAAGGCGUGGGGAUCAAACA